AUAUACAUACCGUAUCGGUUCCAGCAGGGCCUGGUGAAGAAGCGCCGAGGCUGGGAGUAGGGGCCUCAUUUGAUGGAGACGGUGGGCUGGAGGCCGAAGGUGAUAGUGCUGGAGACUUAGCUUUGGUCUUGCUAGGGGCCGGAGCUGGAACCGUGGCAGGAGGAGAAGCCAAAGGAGCUGGUGGUGGGGUAGCUGGAGGAGGAGUAGCAGGAGGGGGAGAAGCAGGUGGUGGGGUAGCCGGAGGUGGAGAAGCCGGUGGGGGAGUUGCGGGAGGUGGAGUAGCCGGGGGAGGAGAAGCUGGUGGUGGGGAGCUAACGGGCGGGGGAGUCGCUGGAGGAGGAGUGGAAACUGGUGGUGGUGAUGAAGUAGGAGGAGGAGAGGAAGCUGGUGGCGGAGAAGUAGUUGUGGGUGUUGGAGGUGGUUGAGUAGUAGGUGGAGGUGUGGAAGCGGGUGGAGUCGGCGGCGCCGGCGUGGAUGUCGGAGGAUUACUAGGAGUAGGAGGAGCUUGGCCUAAAACGCCAGCUACAGCAAUGCAAAACAAAGCUGAUAAGAACAAAAACUUAUUAUUAAGCAUCAUAUUGGAAACAAUG
This 590-nucleotide long non-coding RNA is filed under the name Gossypium barbadense (sea-island cotton). Its description in RNAcentral is "long non-coding RNA (GBAR_LNC012156)". The record is from RNAcentral. Lineage: Eukaryota; Viridiplantae; Streptophyta; Magnoliopsida; Malvales; Malvaceae.